AACAAAAUGAUGUCCGGUCAUGGCAAGUUCCAACUUCGGGUGUAAAAGUCUCCAGUGGAACAGCAGAAGAAGCUGCUAGGAUUGCUGCUGACAUUGUUGCUGAUGCAGAAAAUAAGCGUUGCUUGGAAGUUGCAGCAGUCAGAGAUGCAGAAAUGAAGCUAAGAAUGGUUGACGAUGCAGAGUCAAUGUUACAAAUUAUCAAAGAGAUCUAUGAACAUUGUUUACAAGGUGAAAUUAUUCUCUUGGCUUGAUCACCAUGUGCGAUGGCUUGUAUAUACUGCUCGUUGAGAUGCCGAGAUGCUUUUCAUUUUCUGAUAGCAGUUGGUUCCAAACUUUAGGGUGCCAACCUAUUUACUUUCCUUUAGAAGUAUACUUGAGAAAAAUAAUGGAGCUUCAGAGACUAUGAUCGUUGAUAUCUUGUGUAUCCUUCCCAGUUUAAGCUCUUUAGCAGAAACUACAGACUAGGUUAUGUUUCAAAUUUCAAAAUCCAGUUCAUAGAUUUGCUAUUUGACCUUUUCGCUCAUGCUUUAGCGAGAGGAAGCUAUAUAAAUAAGAAUUUUAACGUUAU
Molecule: unclassified non-coding RNA, 568 nt
Filed under: Hevea brasiliensis (rubber tree)
Lineage: Eukaryota; Viridiplantae; Streptophyta; Magnoliopsida; Malpighiales; Euphorbiaceae
Source: RNAcentral